This 711-nucleotide long non-coding RNA is filed under the name Homo sapiens (human). Its description in RNAcentral is "non-protein coding lnc-APOL2-2:2". Lineage: Eukaryota; Metazoa; Chordata; Mammalia; Primates; Hominidae. The record is from RNAcentral.
GCAGGAAUUAGAAGAGAUCUGCCAUGACCUAGAGGCCAGGGUGGAGGAGGAGGAGGAGCGCUGCCAGCACCUGCAGGCGGAGAAGAAGAAGAUGCAGCAGAACAUCCAGAGCUUGAGGAGCAGCUGGAGGAGGAGGAGAGCGCCCGGCAGAAGCUGCAGCUGGAGAAGGUGACCACCGAGGCGAAGCUGAAAAAGCUGGAGGAGGAGCAGAUCAUCCUGGAGGACCAGAACUGCAAGCUGGCCAAGAAAAGAAACUGCUGGAAGACAGAAUAGCUGAGUUCACCACCAACCUCACAGAAGAGGAGGAGAAAUCUAAGAGCCUCGCCAAGCUCAAGAACAAGCAUGAGGCAAUGAUCACUGACUUGGAAAGCGCCUCCGCAGGGAGGAGAAGCAGCGACAGGAGCUGGAGAAGACCCGCCGGAAGCUGGAGGGAGACUCCACAGACCUCAGCGACCAGAUCGCCGAGCUCCAGGCCCAGAUCGCGGAGCUCAAGAUGCAGCUGGCCAAGAAAGAGGAGGAGCUCCAGGCCGCCCUGGCCAAGUGGAAGAGGAAGCUGCCCAGAAGAACAUGGCCCUCAAGAAGAUCCGGGAGCUGGAAUCUCAGAUCUCUGAACUCCAGGAAGACCUGGAGUCUGAGCGUGCUUCCAGGAAUAAAGCUGAGAAGCAGAAACGGGACCUUGGGGAAGAGCUAGAGGCUCUGAAAACAGAGUUG